Molecule: ribosomal RNA, 291 nt
Filed under: uncultured Paraglomeraceae
Lineage: Eukaryota; Fungi; Glomeromycota; Glomeromycetes; Paraglomerales
Description: partial small subunit ribosomal RNA
Rfam family: Eukaryotic small subunit ribosomal RNA
Source: RNAcentral
AGCAGCCGCGGUAAUUCCAGCUCCAAUAGCGUAUAUUAAAGUUGUUGCAGUUAAAAAGCUCGUAGUUGAACUUCAGGCCUGGCUGGACGGUCCGCCUUCUGGGUGAGCACUGUCUGUGGUCGGGCCCUACUUCCUGGCGAAGCGGCAUGGCCUUCACCGGCUGUGGCGGGGAACCAGGACUUUUACUGUGAAAAAAUUAGAGUGUUCAAAGCAGGCACGCGCUUGAAUACAUUAGCAUGGAAUAAUGGAAUAGGACAAUGGUUCUAUUUGUUGGUUUCUAGGACCGUUGUA